UACGUAGGGGGCAAGCGUUGUCCGGAAUCAUUGGGCGUAAAGAGCGCGUAGGCGGCCCUGUAAGUCCGCUGUGAAAGUCAAGGGCUCAACCCUUGAAUGCCGGUGGAUACUGCAGGGCUAGAGUCCGGAAGAGGCGAGUGGAAUUCCUGGUGUAGCGGUGAAAGUGCGCAGAUAUCAGGAGGAACACCGAUGGCGAAGGCAGCUCGCUGGGACGGUACUGACGCUGAGGCGCGAAAGCGUGGGGAGCAAACAGG
Molecule: ribosomal RNA, 254 nt
Filed under: uncultured bacterium
Lineage: Bacteria
Description: partial 16S ribosomal RNA
Rfam family: Bacterial small subunit ribosomal RNA
Source: RNAcentral